This is a long non-coding RNA of Pseudopipra pipra, 1472 nucleotides long. RefSeq lists it as uncharacterized. The transcript has 3 exons. NCBI's taxonomy places the organism in Eukaryota, Metazoa, Chordata, Aves, Passeriformes, Pipridae. The record is from RefSeq and is a predicted model, not a curated record.
AUCAGUUUCGCGCAUAACUCCGGGGUAAUGUGGAAAAUCAGGGUUUUGGUUUUGGGUGGGUUUGGGUUGGUGGUGUGGUUUUGGUUUUUUUUGGCGGGGGCGGGAGGCUGCCCCAGUGCGCGCUCGGUCCCGCUCGUGCGGGGAGCGGGCAGCGCCGCCGCCCGCGGUGGUGUCGGGCCCGGCGCGGAGCAGAGCGCGGUGUCCGCGGGGCCGCCGCCGGCGCCGCGCAGGGUCGGAGGCAACCGCCUGCCCCGACCCUCCUCCGCCCGCUUCGGCCUUAUAUUUAAUACAUGCCCUUUCAUCUAUUAUUCAGGCUGCUCUGACUCCAGCUCUGUCUCGCCUCCCAUUUACGCCUGCACACCUUUCUCCUUCCCCUUCCCGAAGGGUCAGCCGAGACACUCGCCGAGGGAGGGAGAGAGCUGCUCUGCUGGUUUGGGUCUUGUCUGCUUAAACAUUGAACUGGAAAAGAUUCCUCCUCUCUGUGGUUUGAUAAAUAAUAAAAGUGAUCGUUUCGCCUUCCCCAUAAAUGACACAGAUGCAGGCUCCAACCCUUAGACUCCCAUAUGUGUCUGCAUGUAGGAUGCACUGUUAACUGAUGGUGGAAGCUACUUGUACCUGUUAGAGGUAAUCAUACAUUAUUAACCUCAUGGAAGGGGCAGGUCUUCAAGCCGUAUUAUUUGCACACCGAAUUGUAAAAUUGAGGCCCAGAGUACCAAAGAGGCGAGGACUGUCACAACUGCUUCUAAUAAUGAGAAAAAAAGAAUGGAAAGGGCUGAGUUCCUGAGAAGGAGUUGGAAUCGCCCAGUGUAGCAUUAACGCCACCUCUGAAAUGUGAGAAAUUGCUCUGAAAUAUGUCCAGUGUUCUCUUGAGUAGCCAUUUUUAUCCUCCAGUAGAUGUUUAUUCCCUCACUCUUACAUUUGAGAAAACUGCAGUAUUUGAUGUUGCACUCUCCUCCAAUGCAGCUCUGUGCCGUUAUUUAUAUUGUUUCUUAAUAGUCGCCUUUCUUUACGCUGAUGUAUUAGCCUUUUGUCUAUAUAUAAGAACACUGGACUCGUAAUCACAUCCCAGCCUAUUAAAAUGACUUGCGUAUUGUAGCAUAUUAACUAUUCAUCCACAUCAUCGCUUGUUAUCUUUGGCUCCGUAUUAUUAUGUAUCAAAUUCUUUUCCAUACCAUUUUUGACUCAAAUUCUAGCAUGCUAGAAACUGACUCCAAUUAUUCUGUACUAGCUAUAGUCAAAUUGCACUAAAUGGAAUUGCUUGCAUUGUAUCAUAGUGGCUAUGGGCUCACACAAUGCAUUAUACAUGAAACUGAUUCACAUUAUGCUUUGCUAACUAAAGACUUUAAUCUUGAAGUGUUGAGCAUAUAAUGCUAUCAUUCUUCACUGAACUGGCUCUGGUCACUUGAUCAUUUUGUACCUGGGAUUGCCUCUUACAGGCUGUUAUUAUUAAAGCAAAAUGGCUUUUCCUCUUC